AAAGUCGUAACAAGGUAACCGUAGGUGAACCUGCGGUUGGAUCAUUACAAAAUGAUGGUUUCUUUGACUUGAGCAGCUCCGGUAACCAACUCUGGCUGUAGCGUAUCAGUGAUCUCCUAUGGUACAAUUUGUGUAGUAAUGCACAGAUAGUUUUACCUAUUACUAGGUAAAAUCCAUAGGGGAGAACCUAAGCCGCAACUCGAGUGUAUUGGAAGCAGCUCGUUAAAGAAACUUAUUCACCCUUGUGCAUCGUAAUGUUUUUUGGGUCAGUUUAUGACUGGCCCAGCAAUUUAUAAACACUUAUUAUUUUGGCUGAAUUUUUUUGAAAACAAAAAAUAACAACUUUUGACAACGGAUCUCUUGGCUCUC
RNAcentral lists this unclassified non-coding RNA (369 nucleotides) under Chytridiomycota sp. RNAcentral's name for it is "partial contains small subunit ribosomal RNA, internal transcribed spacer 1, and 5.8S ribosomal RNA". The stretch from base 1 to 47 matches the Rfam family "Eukaryotic small subunit ribosomal RNA", at positions 1785 to 1831 of the family's 1831-position model. Lineage: Eukaryota; Fungi; Chytridiomycota. The record is from RNAcentral.